Long non-coding RNA from Bubalus bubalis (water buffalo), 567 nucleotides. RefSeq lists it as uncharacterized. Lineage: Eukaryota; Metazoa; Chordata; Mammalia; Artiodactyla; Bovidae. The transcript has 3 exons. The record is from RefSeq and is a predicted model, not a curated record.
CAGCAUGGAGAAAGAGAUAGCUCUACUCCACAGGCUUUGGAACCCUACUUUUAUGGCCUCUUGGCUUUUCUUAAGAAGCAUUCCAUGCAUCAGAUUUCCUCCAUCCCAUCCCUCCUGGCUGACUCCCUUCGGUCCACAGGAGUCCUCAUCCUGGGAUCAUUAUGCAAUCCCCAUGGCUCCAGCUCCCAGCUUCCGUGGACACCAGUGGACUUACAACCCUGUCUGAGAUGGAUUGAAGACUUCCAAAAUUUGCAGCUGAAACUCACAUCAUGUGAUAUUUUCAAAUGUACUUUUCUAAAUGGUGAUGGCAACCAUGGGAUCAACCCCAGUUGGCAGACAUGAGGAGACAAGCAGAACAGAGGCCAAGAGAGCAAGCUCAGAGCACAGCGUCGUCUGGCAGCUGUCUGGUGGGGAGAGAAGGCUGAGCUUCUAUUUCUCAACCUUGACUGUCUCACUGUAGUCAUCACAACUUAAUGAAGUUCUGAGAUUUUAAACAUUCACGGACUGAGUUUACAGAUUCCUCCUUCAAUUGGAAAAGUAAUAUAUAUUUCUGAUUUUCAAUUACAA